Molecule: ribosomal RNA, 1005 nt
Filed under: Staphylococcus aureus
Lineage: Bacteria; Bacillati; Bacillota; Bacilli; Caryophanales; Staphylococcaceae
Description: partial 23S ribosomal RNA
Rfam family: Bacterial large subunit ribosomal RNA
Source: RNAcentral
UGAAACCGUGUGCUUACAAGUAGUCAGAGCCCGUUAAUGGGUGAUGGCGUGCCUUUUGUAGAAUGAACCGGCGAGUUACGAUUUGAUGCAAGGUUAAGCAGUAAAUGUGGAGCCGUAGCGAAAGCGAGUCUGAAUAGGGCGUUUAGUAUUUGGUCGUAGACCCGAAACCAGGUGAUCUACCCUUGGUCAGGUUGAAGUUCAGGUAACACUGAAUGGAGGACCGAACCGACUUACGUUGAAAAGUGAGCGGAUGAACUGAGGGUAGCGGAGAAAUUCCAAUCGAACCUGGAGAUAGCUGGUUCUCUCCGAAAUAGCUUUAGGGCUAGCCUCAAGUGAUGAUUAUUGGAGGUAGAGCACUGUUUGGACGAGGGGCCCCUCUCGGGUUACCGAAUUCAGACAAACUCCGAAUGCCAAUUAAUUUAACUUGGGAGUCAGAACAUGGGUGAUAAGGUCCGUGUUCGAAAGGGAAACAGCCCAGACCACCAGCUAAGGUCCCAAAAUAUAUGUUAAGUGGAAAAGGAUGUGGCGUUGCCCAGACAACUAGGAUGUUGGCUUAGAAGCAGCCAUCAUUUAAAGAGUGCGUAAUAGCUCACUAGUCGAGUGACACUGCGCCGAAAAUGUACCGGGGCUAAACAUAUUACCGAAGCUGUGGAUUGUCCUUUGGACAAUGGUAGGAGAGCGUUCUAAGGGCGUUGAAGCAUGAUCGUAAGGACAUGUGGAGCGCUUAGAAGUGAGAAUGCCGGUGUGAGUAGCGAAAGACGGGUGAGAAUCCCGUCCACCGAUUGACUAAGGUUUCCAGAGGAAGGCUCGUCCGCUCUGGGUUAGUCGGGUCCUAAGCUGAGGCCGACAGGCGUAGGCGAUGGAUAACAGGUUGAUAUUCCUGUACCACCUAUAAUCGUUUUAAUCGAUGGGGGGACGCAGUAGGAUAGGCGAAGCGUGCGAUUGGAUUGCACGUCUAAGCAGUAAGGCUGAGUAUUAGGCAAAUCCGGUACUCGUUAAGGCUGA